GUCUAAGUAUAAGCAAUUAUACCGCGAAACUGCGAAUGGCUCAUUAUAUAAGUUAUCGUUUAUUUGAUAGUACCUUACUACUUGGAUAACCGUGGUAAUUCUAGAGCUAAUACAUGCUAAAAAUCCCGACUUCGGAAGGGAUGUAUUUAUUAGAUUAAAAACCAAUGCCCUUCGGGGCUCACUGGUGAUUCAUGCAACAUCGAUAAACUCGAGCGCCCGUGGUGCAUCUAAAAGGAGCCAGUCGAU
This 246-nucleotide non-coding RNA is filed under the name Fusarium verticillioides 7600. RNAcentral's name for it is "Gibberella moniliformis 7600 Eukaryotic small subunit ribosomal RNA". It matches the Rfam family "Eukaryotic small subunit ribosomal RNA", at positions 57 to 315 of the family's 1831-position model. Lineage: Eukaryota; Fungi; Ascomycota; Sordariomycetes; Hypocreales; Nectriaceae. The record is from Rfam by way of RNAcentral.